Long non-coding RNA from Syngnathus typhle (broad-nosed pipefish), 360 nucleotides. RefSeq lists it as uncharacterized. The transcript is spliced from 3 exons. The record is from RefSeq and is a predicted model, not a curated record. Lineage: Eukaryota; Metazoa; Chordata; Actinopteri; Syngnathiformes; Syngnathidae.
ACGCAUGCGCCCAACACUUUGCUGGGCAACUUGACCGAGAGACUCUGCUGCCUGUCGCCCACAACACAACAGUCCGCAUCUUCAUCAGUAUCUGUAUCAUCAUCACCAGCAGCAGCAACAAGAGUGUGAUGAGGAGCUAGAUUCUAGACCAACACACAGGAUGACCCAAGUAAUGAACUCUCUGGAGACGGGGGCAGUGGGAGGCGACCAGGACGCAAUAUUCCCAGAUUCCCAUGAAAGGCAUCCAAAAUUGUCCAAGAGGCUUCCAUCUAUUGUGGUGGAGCCGACAGACGGGCCAGAAGUGGAGAGCGGCGAGCUCCGGUGGCCACCGGAACCCAGCUCCCCAGACGCUCAGACCAA